RNAcentral lists this ribosomal RNA (1362 nucleotides) under uncultured bacterium. RNAcentral describes it as "bacterial SSU rRNA". It matches the Rfam family "Bacterial small subunit ribosomal RNA", at positions 28 to 1381 of the family's 1533-position model. The record is from RNAcentral.
AUUGAACGCUGGCGGCAUGCUUUACACAUGCAAGUCGGACGGCAGCACAGAGAAGCUUGCUUCUUGGGUGGCGAGUGGCGAACGGGUGAGUAACAUAUCGGAACGUACCGAGUAGUGGGGGAUAACUGGUCGAAAGAUCAGCUAAUACCGCAUACGUCUUGAGAGGGAAAGCAGGGGACCUUCGGGCCUUGCGCUAUUCGAGCGGCCGAUAUCUGAUUAGCUAGUUGGUGGGGUAAAGGCCUACCAAGGCGACGAUCAGUAGCGGGUCUGAGAGGAUGAUCCGCCACACUGGGACUGAGACACGGCCCAGACUCCUACGGGAGGCAGCAGUGGGGAAUUUUGGACAAUGGGCGCAAGCCUGAUCCAGCCAUGCCGCGUGUCUGAAGAAGGCCUUCGGGUUGUAAAGGACUUUUGUCAGGGAAGAAAAGGCUGUUGCUAAUAUCAGAUGCUGAUGACGGUACCUAAAGAAUAAGCACCGGCUAACUACGUGCCAGCAGCCGCGGUAAUACGUAGGGUGCGAGCGUUAAUCGGAAUUACUGGGCGUAAAGCGAGCGCAGACGGUUACUUAAGCAGGAUGUGAAAUCCCCGGGCUCAACCUGGGCACUGCGUUCUGAACUGGGUAGCUAGAGUGUGUCAGAGGGAGGUAGAAUUCCACGUGUAGCAGUGAAAUGCGUAGAGAUGUGGAGGAAUACCGAUGGCGAAGGCAGCCUCCUGGGAUAACACUGACGUUCAUGCUCGAAAGCGUGGGUAGCAAACAGGAUUAGAUACCCUGGUAGUCCACGCCCUAAACGAUGUCAAUUAGCUGUUGGGGUACUAGAUGCCUUAGUAGCGAAGCUAACGCGUGAAAUUGACCGCCUGGGGAGUACGGUCGCAAGAUUAAAACUCAAAGGAAUUGACGGGGACCCGCACAAGCGGUGGAUGAUGCGGAUUAAUUCGAUGCAACGCGAAGAACCUUACCUGGUCUUGACAUGUACGGAAUCCUCCAGAGACGGAGGAGUGCCUUCGGGAGCCGUAACACAGGUGCUGCAUGGCUGUCGUCAGCUCGUGUCGUGAGAUGUUGGGUUAAGUCCCGCAACGAGCGCAACCCUUGUCAUUAGUUGCCAUCAUUAAGUUGGGCACUCUAAUGGGACUGCCGGUGACAAACCGGAGGAAGGUGGGGAUGACGUCAAGUCCUCAUGGCCCUUAUGACCAGGGCUUCACACGUCAUACAAUGGUCGGUACAGAGGGUAGCCAAGCCGCGAGGUGGAGCCAAUCCCAAAAAACCGAUCGUAGUCCGGAUUGCACUCUGCAACUCGAGUGCAUGAAGUCGGAAUCGCUAGUAAUCGCAGGUCAGCAUACUGCGGUGAAUACGUUCCCGGGUCU